AUUGGCUGGAAUGCUGGUAUGAAAUCAAUAAGACAAAAUUUAAAUCAGAUGUAAAGCCCAGGUGUGGUGGCUCACGCCUGUAAUCCCAGCACUUUGGGAGGCCAAGGCUGUCGAAUCAUUUGAGGUCAGGAGUUCAAGACCAGGCUGGCCAACAUGGCGAAACCCCGUCUCUACUAAAAAUACAAAAAUUAGCUGGGUGUCGUGGCACAUGCCUGUAAUCCCAGCUACUCAGCAGGCUGAGGGAGGAGAAUUGCUUGAACCCACGGUGCUGAAGUUACAGUGAGCCGAGAUUGCGUCACUGCACUCCUGCUUGGACGACACAGCGAGACUCUCUCUCAAAAAAAAGGAAACCUGCUAGAUCUCAGAAUUAUAGCAAUAGUUUCAGUUGACCUCAUCUCCUUCCUACAUGUGUUCCCCUCUCUGCCCAUGUCCUUCUGACCUUGUGAGUUCUGAAAUGAGUCCAAACUUCUCCCAUCACAGUCCCUCUCUCUAAGUAUACAGAUUUAUCUUUCUAUCAUGACUGAGGUAUGCACAGAGUUGACUUUAUGAGUGUACGAUCUGUGUUGCUGCACAGAGUCCUGCACUUAAAAGCACCCCAUACUCAGUUUAAUGUCUCCUUCUGGAAAUUCUUCUUUUCUUUUCUUUGUGCUCACUUUGGCAGCAUAUACACUAAAAUUGGAACAAUACAGAGAAGAUUAGCAUUGUCCCUGAGCAAGCAUGACACACAAAUUCAUGAAGCAUUUCAUAUUUUUAUUUAUAAAAAAUAAAAUUUUUUAAAAAGUUAAAAGUAAUUUUAAUUGGCAAAUAAAAAUUAUAUAUAUUUAUCAUGUACAAAAUGAUGCUUUCAUAUAUGUAUACAUUAUGGAAUGGUUAAAUCAAGCUAAUUAACAUAUUCAUUACUUCACAUGCUAAUAAUUUUUUUGUGGUGAGGACACUACAAAUCUACUCUCUUGGCCAUUUUUCAAGUAUGCAAUACACUAUUGUUUACGAUAGUCAUCAUGUUGUGCAAUAGAUCUCUUGAAACUUCUUGAAAUUCUUAACAAUUUAAAAAUUUUUUUUAGAGACAAAGGAUCUUACUGUGUUGCCCAGGCUGGUCUUGAAUUCCUGGACUCAAGCGAUCCUCCUGCCUCAGCCUCUUGUGUAGCUGGGAUUACAGAUGCAAGCCCCCAUGCCUGGCUGUAACAACUCUUGAAUAAAGAGUCUGGCAUUUUCAUUUUGCACUGAGCCCCACAAAUUAUAUAGCCAGUCCUCGGUAUAGGAAACAUCCUUUUCUUCUCUGAGCAGUUGAAGUUUUCCAAAAGGAAGUUUUUCUAUGAAAAUGAGGUAGCAAACAAACAAGAUGGCUACACCAAAAGUUAGCAAAAAUAAAAUUUCAGAUUACAGGUGAAUCCCAAAGUGAACUAGCACCAAGCCAAAAAUGCAAUUAGUCAGCACAGUAGAGACAGUCCAUAGCGUUUGGCUCCUUUCCACUUCAUUUGUAGCUGCCUAAAAUGUUAAAUUAAGAUAUGCACAUGAUCUGAGAUGGAUUUUGUUUGGCAGCAAAACCAAACUGUAGUAUCUGUAGGAUUCUGGCUAUGCUAGGAAUAGACCCUAGGUCACUGGCCCUAGCUCCAUCAUCACUUGCUAGUCCCAUUUCUGACCCACUCCUUCUGUUCUUUCUACCCAUUUCAGAUCUCCAGGUCUCUGGCUUCUUCACUUUGGCUCCAUUUACUUCAUAUCUGUUUUCUAGCCAAUUGAAAAGGUCAGUUUGUUAUGCAAACUGGAGAACCCUGGCUUCCUUACUUAUUAUUAGCAAAAUGUAAGCUUGCCAGAUUUAACUAAUUAAAAUGUAAGAUCCACAAUUACUUUUGAAUUUUAGACAAACAAUGGAUGCAUUUUUAGUAUAUGUUCCAUAUAUUGCAUGGCAUGUACUUAUAGUAAAAAAUUAUUUAUCUAGCUUAAAUUCAAAUUUAAUUGAAUGUUCGGUGGGGUGCAAUGGCUCACGCCUGUAAUCCCAGAACUUUGGGGGGCUGAGGCAGGAGGAUCACCUGAGGUCAGGAGUUUGAGGCCAGCCUGGCUAACAUGGUGAAACCCCAUAUCUACUAAAAAUACAAAAAAUUAGCCAGGUGUGGUGGAAGGCACCUGUAAUCCCAGCUACAUGGGAGGCUGAGUCAGGAGAAAUGUUUGAACCUGGGAGGCGGAGGUUGCAGUGAGCUGAGAUCAUGCCAUUGCACUCCAGCUUGGGCAACAAGAGCAAAAUUCCAUCUCAAAAAAAAAAAAUUUAAUUGAAUGUUCUGCAUUUUACCUUGGGACCCUGUCAUCAUGGGCACCCAUGGAUCAUGGGCUGCCCUGAACAUACAGGAGAUGCCUACUAUCUAACCUCCUUGGAGGCCAUUGGCAUGUCUUCAGUUUUCUUGGGACCAAAACUCUCUCGGUCUCAUCUGAUGUCAAAUUCUCUGCUCCUGCAGCUUCUGCCCCCUCUCAAGUUCCCACUUCAAUAAAAGAGCAGAAAUUACUAAUGAAUCCUGGGUUUAUUGAGCAAUCAUACCUCUUUCUCAAUUUACCUGAACAAUUCUUCCCAUUUACUCAAGUUCUCUUUCAUAAUUCUAUUCCCAAGUACCCCCAGAAAAGUAACUGUUACCAGAUUUUGCAAUACAGAUGUUGACCGGUUUUCUCAUCCGUAUAUCUACGGUAGCCACUGUAUUGCAUGGUAUACAGUGGAAUUCAAUAAAUGUCUGUUGGGUGAUUGAAUUAGUUAAUUAAAGCGUAUAUUCCCUAUAGGUUUUUUUGUUGGAACAGAUAGAACAGAGUGUUCUAUUUUAUUCCAGAGGGAAGGACCAGGGCCAAUAGCGUGAACACUUAGGGAAAUCAUUUUGACUUCAACAUCUGGAAACUUUUCUUAGCUCCAGAGGUCAAAGUGGUGGUGUUGAGAAGUCAAGAUCUUCCUACCCUGGCAAUGUUCAGAAGGAGGUCUAAUUUCCACCACUAUGGCAUUGCUGUCACAAACAGAAUUUCUGGACUAGGGGCAGUGAGAAGUAAUUGUUAAACUACUUCCGAACCUAAGAAUCAAGAACGUUAAUGCACCCUCUCCACAAACACACUUUUAUUUUUUCAACUUAAAAGUUGCACUUGAUACUGAAUUCUGCUCUUCUGAGAACAAGGACAUAUAACAGAUGCACGCACACAUUAAUGAUGUGCCAACUCCCUUUUGUUUCAAGUCUUAUAGAGCAUAAAGACAAAGAGGUCAUUUCUAGUAAUGGAGAGUAAAAAGCCCUUAAUUUUUCAGUUUAUCUUUGAUUUAUGUUUCUGUGUUUGUGUGUGGCCAGGCUCUCCUUGGCCUUUUCAAAAGGAACUGGCAUAACCACUGAAAAUGUGUGGUAACUGACUACAUGUCCCUGGGGAGAAAUCUUAUGUUACUCAAAACACAGUUGCUAAUGAACAGCCUGUGUUAGUCCCUCAACAUAAGAGAAAAAAAGCUAUUUGUAGGUAUGAAGGUAAGCACAACCAUUCCCCCAAUAACCCUGGAAUUCUUAUAUAUCUCACCA
This 3524-nucleotide long non-coding RNA is filed under the name Homo sapiens (human). Lineage: Eukaryota; Metazoa; Chordata; Mammalia; Primates; Hominidae. The record is from RNAcentral.